This 260-nucleotide long non-coding RNA is filed under the name Mytilus galloprovincialis (Mediterranean mussel). Lineage: Eukaryota; Metazoa; Mollusca; Bivalvia; Mytilida; Mytilidae. The record is from RNAcentral.
GCGGUCUUUGUUUGUAAAAAUGUAUUGACGGUUGCAGUAUAAAAAACAGUAUCUAGUAACAUAAACACAUUGUUUUUUUUAAACUUUAAUCACUCUUCAAAUAAAAUACAUUGUAACUCUCCAAAUAUGUAUUUAAAGUAAACGUACGUAUAAAGCCUCCUCGUCCUCCACCUGGUUUCCUCAUUUUUGUUCCUGAUGUUGAGACCAUUCCUCCUCCUCCUCCCCAUACCCCUCCUUCCAGCUGUUGUCCAUAAAUAUAU